GGGGCAUUAGCUUAGUUGGCUAGAGCGCCGCGUUUGCACCGCGGAGGUCGAGGGUUCGACUCCCUCAUGCUCCACCA
Molecule: transfer RNA, 77 nt
Filed under: Candidatus Peregrinibacteria bacterium RIFOXYA2_FULL_41_18
Lineage: Bacteria; Candidatus Peregrinibacteriota
Also listed under: 2 other names
Description: tRNA-Ala
Rfam family: tRNA
About the family: Transfer RNA (tRNA) molecules are approximately 80 nucleotides in length. Their secondary structure includes four short double-helical elements and three loops (D, anti-codon, and T loops).
Source: RNAcentral